GACGAACGCUGGCGGCGUGCUUAACACAUGCAAGUCGAACGGAAAGGCCCUGCUUUUGUGGGGUGCUCGAGUGGCGAACGGGUGAGCAACACGUGAGUAACCUGCCCUUGACUUUGGGAUAACUUCAGGAAACUGGGGCUAAUACCGGAUAGGAGCUCCUGCUGCAUGGUGGGGGUUGGAAAGUUUCGGCGGUUGGGGAUGGACUCGCGGCUUAUCAGCUUGUUGGUGGGGUAGUGGCUUACCAAGGCUUUGACGGGUAGCCGGCCUGAGAGGGUGACCUGCCACAUUGGGACUGAGAUACGGCCCAGACUCCUGCGGGAGGCAGCAGUGGGGAAUAUUGCACAAUGGGCGGAAGCCUGAUGCAGCAACGCCGCGUGCGGGAUGACGGCCUUCGGGUUGUAAACCGCUUUCGCCUGUGACGAAGCGUGAGUGACGGUAAUGGGUAAAGAAGCACCGGCUAACUACGUG
RNAcentral lists this ribosomal RNA (468 nucleotides) under uncultured bacterium. RNAcentral's name for it is "partial 16S ribosomal RNA". It matches the Rfam family "Bacterial small subunit ribosomal RNA", at positions 28 to 507 of the family's 1533-position model. The record is from RNAcentral.